UACGUAGGGGGCUAGCGUUGUCCGGAAUCAUUGGGCGUAAAGCGCGUGUAGGCGGCCCGGUAAGUCCGCUGUGAAAGUCGGGGGCUCAACCCUCGGAUGCCGGUGGAUACUGUCGGGCUCGAGUACGGAAGAGGCGAGUGGAAUUCCUGGUGUAGCGGUGAAAUGCGCAGAUAUCAGGAGGAACACCGGUGGCGAAGGCGGCAUCCUGGACCAAAACUGACGCUGAAUAGCGAAAGCCAGGGGAGCAAACGGG
This 253-nucleotide ribosomal RNA is filed under the name uncultured bacterium. Its description in RNAcentral is "partial 16S ribosomal RNA". It matches the Rfam family "Bacterial small subunit ribosomal RNA", at positions 524 to 776 of the family's 1533-position model. The record is from RNAcentral.